GACGUAUGCUUAAGAUUAAAAAAUAUAAUGGUUUUUUAAAGUUUGCGAAAAUUAAUAAAUGCGCUGCUCGUUAAAAAACUGUGAAACGAUAAAAAAUAGUCAACUGAAUUUGUUAACGACUAGUUAUUCCAUACAGGAUUCAUUUUUUUUCACAUUAAAUAAAUACAAAAUUUGGAUUUAUAAAAAUUGUUUAUUUUAAAUUUACUUAUUUUAAUUUAUAACUAUAUUAGAGGAUUUUUAUUUUACACAAUACAAGUAACGCUAAAUAAACCAGUCUUUAUUUUUUCAUGAAAUCUGCCCGCUGAUGUCCUGUGCUUGGUGAAUCACUAACGGUCACAUCUUCUUCGUCAACUUCCAGGCUGUUCAAUCUAAAAGAAAAUAAUAAUUUUUUAAAUACCAGUAUUUAAAUAAUAAUCAAAACAUAUCCUAAGUUACUUACUCAUCCUGUUCCAAGCUAUGUAACAUUUGAAAUCCUGCAUCCAAACUGGGAGGAAAACCCAUCUCUGGAUCAAGUAGCUGUAGUGUUGGCACUUCUCUAUAUACAUUUCCAAAUUCUUCAAGUCCAUCGAAUUGUAGAUUACUCGUGGCUUCAUCCAAUUCCAUUCUGUGAAAAUACACGAGUUGUAGAAAUUACGACAUGAGGAGAGCAUAAUGUAUGUACUUAAAAAUAUCUUACUUUGCAUUGCAAAUGUUUAACUCAAGUUGUCGCUGCUGUUCAACUUUGUUUUCCACUUUUCUCUUCACAUUUUUUUCAUGCCUGAGAAUAUACUCUUCGUAGUAAUUAUGUAAACCUAUGAUUCCUCCUACAUUAGCCUCAACAAGAACUUUUUCCAUUGCGUCCUAUGAAAAAAAUAAUUUUUACAGAUAUAUAUAAUACAUAAAUAUCAAACUUUAGUGAUAUAUUGCAACUCACUGGAAAACCAUAAUUCCUUUCUUCUGAUGCUACCUUUAAUAAAAGUCCUAUCCUUUUCAAAAAAUGAUCAGCAGCAUCCGUAAGAGUAGCAAUAGCAUAAUCAGAUGCUUCAUCAAAUCCAAUAUGAGCUAAUAAAACUGUAACUGCAUGUUUUAAUAAUCCUUGUGCAGUUGAAGGUUUUAAAUGAGUAAUGUUCACGUGAUUUUUAAAUCUCUUUUUGUUUUGUUUAGUGGGUAUCGUAAAAUUAUAUGAAUCUUUGGGAAUUUCAUCUUGAGAUUCAUCUUCAAUCACAGUUACAUUUCUUAAUAUGUUUCCCUCCUCCUGUAAAAUAAUUUAAUUUAUUAAUUUUUGUGUAACUAUUUGAAUAAAAUGAAUAAAUAAAAUAAGGUAUAGUUACCAUUGAUCUCAGUUGCUGUCGUAAAUUUACAGUAUUUAAUACGUGAGGAUUUCCUAAAGGCAUUCUGCAAAAUAAAAUGACAUUAGAUACGUUUUUUUUUGUAUUGAAACGCUUUUAUAAAUUAAAAUCAAAUCAUUAAAUAUUUACUGAAUAUAUUCAGGUUGUCUGUGCAUUUGGUAAUCACAAUCAGAAUUGUUUGCUUCAUCCAUGACUUGCCUCCAAACAUUUUCAAUAAUAUCUGGAGUAAUGAUUUCUUGUUUGUGAGUUUCUCUAACUGGAAGCUCACCCCAUAACCCACCAGUGGUUGGAGUUUUGCUUGAUUUCAUGGUAACUCUCUUGUUUAAAACGCGAUUUUGACAGAAUUUUUCCGAAAAUGCUUUAGAAAAAUGCACCGAUAUUUUUGAACUCACAUGUUUAGAAGUUUAUUAAAUAUUUAUAUUAAUAAAUGUAUUAAUUAAACUAAAUUCUUUUCUGUAUACUUAAAACAUAAGUAUAAAAAUAUUAGCAAAAAAUAAUAGAAAAUUUGUGUGUAAUUAUAAAGACGGCUUCUCUUCACGCUAUUGUUUGUACACAAACAUCAGAAUUUUAAGGUUAUGUUCUCUGAUGCAACGCGUGCAGUGCAGACUUCUGCUCUACCUGCUGAUGCGCGGGCUGCCAUUCUGCCAAUGCUGCCAUUGCUAUAUACCUGCACCAUGUAUAUCUAUAAGAUAUACAUAAGUAUAUAUAUGAUUGUUGGAAAUUGGAAUGCGUCCGCACAACUCACAAGCGAAGUCAAAACAAGUGAUGACAGUUAUACUUAUCGCCAACACGAAGGGUCUGAGGAAACUUGAUUUUCGCAAAAUGAUCGAUAAUUAACGCAACUAUGACAUUUUUUGUCAUCGGAUUUCAAUUUUAUAUAUUUGAAAACUACAUUUUCACUCUUAUAUGAAGAAGCAUUUGAUAGAGCCAAAUUUUCCAAGGUAGAAAAAAAAAUUAAAGAUGGAAAGUGUGGCAGCAUCAAUUUUACAACGAGCUGUUGAAAAGGACAAAAAGGAACAGUACACGAUGGCCUUAGCAUUGUAUCAAGAAGGUUUAAAAGUUCUUGUUGAUUCUAUAAAAGAGAUGAACGACCCUGUGCGGAAAAAACAUUUUCAGACAAGAGCCGCACAGUACAUGGAUAGAGCUGAAAAAAUAAAGAGUCUCAUAGAAGAAAAAAAAACAUCAGGAAAAUACAGAGAGCACUUAAAAAUUGAGGCUGGCUCUGUAGGAUAUGGUUAUGAUUCAGUCUUUGGUCGCUUCUUGGAUGGCUCCGUUACACAGAUUCAUAUCGAGGAGCCCUAUAUUAGGGCUUUCCACCAGUUUCAAAAUUUUCUGAGGUUUUGUGAACUAGUUGUACAAAAAUGUCAAUCGCUAUCUAAAAUAUUUCUUCUGACCACACCGGAUCCAAGUGAUAAAGCUGCCCAAGUGUCAAGGUUUGGAGAACUAAAAAAGAGCUUAGCUUCUCGACUGGUAACUUUGGAUGUCAAAUUCUCAGAUACACUGCACGACAGACAAAUUGUGCUUAGCAAUGGAUGGGUGAUAAAAAUUGGACGUGGACUUGACUAUUUCAAACCACCUGAAGGAAAGCUGCUUUUGGGUUAUUUUGAUCUUGAGCUAAGACCCUGCUUGGAAACAAUUGUGGAUAUCUUUCACAAGAGUCAACUUCAAGAAAACAUCAAAUAAGACUUAUCAACUUCUGAAUAUUUUGGUAUAACUUAAGAAAAUAUUGUUUUAAAUAUACCCAAGUCUAUUACAUUAACAGUGAUUAAUACUCUCGAUUUUUUAAAAUGAAAAAUCAUUACUUAAUGUUUUCUAACAAUUUUUAAGUCCAUUUUUUGAGAGAUUAAAAAUUUACUUUGAUCAUGCAAUUGUGAUUAAGACAAAUAUUUUAUAUGAUACAUAAUUUUUUAAAUAACCAGCAAUGAAGUAUUAUAACUGAGUGAAAGUUUACUGAACAUUGUUGAAUAUCUGAAUUUUUAAUUGUACAUACUGUUAAUGCAGAAGCACAGUUGAACUUGAAUGAACUAAGGGACUUGCGGUCCAUAAGGAUAUAUAGGCUAUGAAGGAAUAAAACGAGAGUAUUUAUUAUAGUCAAAAUCGAAUUUAUUUCAUAUAUAUUAAUUAUCUCGUAAUUUUUACAGUAUGGUAUAAAAAAAUAUUCUACUCUAGACUAGACAGAAUCUUUAAAACUUAUAACAAUAAACGGUCGAUAUAUACAUUUUCGUAAAAUUAAUUCAAUUUUACAAUAUCUUCAGUUCACAUCGAAGAUUCUUCAAACACUCGAUCAGUUGCCGCAUCAUUCGUGCACAUACAUAUACAAAUAUCUCGUCCAAAUGCAUCCACACAAUUUCAUCUAUCCAACAACAACAACAACAGCAACAACACCAACAACAACCGAACGAAACAUAUGGCUAUAUAAUAUUGGCACCAUCAGCGUAUCUUCGGACACAGUCGAGAAUAAUCAUCAACUAUUCUCGCGUGUCAUCGCCGUGAUAUCUCAACGUGGACUGGAGUCCCACAUCCUGGCCAUGUCGAUCUGCUCGGCUGCGAUUUUCCUGGCGACCCUCAGCGAUUUCGAACUGUGGAACUUCUGGUUACUGGCAGCCUCAGCUCGUCGAGCAUCUCCAACGCAAGCCUGCCCACUGCACUCGGAGCUGGGAAGACAGUCCGAGCCACCAACCGCCACGACCUGCUUGGCUAUCUCCGGAUCGACGCAGAGACGAGUGAGGGCUUCCGUAGCUGUGGCUUCCAAACGACGAUAGGACUCGGCCUCGAGACCAGGAGGCUGCAUCCGCAGGAAGCAGACCAAGGCGACAGAGGCUCGGGUCUCGGCGAGAUGUGCUCGAGCUUGAGGAACACGGGCGACCUGGCCGACUAACGAGGCCACCUGCUCCAUCAGCCAGACGUUGCCGCUGCUCGUUUUCUUCACGCACCUGCAAUCGGGAUAAAAAAACGAGCUCUCACCUCAGCAGUCUCUUGAUGGAGUUGCACUUGAUGAUCGGCCCGAUGCAACGCCUCGAGUGGGCCAUGUGGUUUAUCGCCGCAGUGCUCAGCAACAGCGUCUGUUUGCAGCUGGUCCUCUCGGCCAAAUUCGUCAGCGCACUGAUCAGGUCAUGGGCGAAAGGCUCGACGUAGGGCAGCCCGACGUAGUCCAUCCAGGGCGCGGUUAUCUGUACAACCAGAGCGGCAGCCUCGGACUUUUCGCUUUCGGGAGUCGAGUCCGCGGCGAGGAUGUCGCUGAGGAUCUCCGGGCCACCCUCGCGCACGAACUGGUCGACCGCCUCGAUGCAGCAACAGACGCUGGCCAGAGCUCGCAGACUAGCCGAGCGUAAUUCCGAGGAGAGCCGACCCGCGGAGACGAGGCUGGUGAGCAGAGCUCGGAUUCCGGAGCAGCGGGCUACGCUGGCACCGGCUCGAGGACCAGCCAGACCGAGAGCGGUGAGGGCUGCCAGGGCACCGCGAGCUGCACUGCCGGCCUCGCUGGGCGCUUCCUCCAGAGCCAGGACAACUUUCUGUGGACGAGAGUGAAAGGCUAAUCUACGGAUCUCGGAUCUCCCUACCUCGCAGCCGGCGAGCCGCACAUCUCGAUGUGGAUAACAGUGACGUUCUCCUGAUCCACGCUGGUGUCACUUUCCGGAACGGCGUCGAGGCGAUCGCGCUCGUCCGUCCUUGGGCACGUCGGCGAAGCUGGAGCCACUAAAACCGGCGAAACUCUCCUCGGACUCGGCAGCACGGCAGGAGCUGGAAAAGCAAAGUUCCCGGCGUCCUGCGUCUCCAUCUGAUUCCAGAACACUUUGCUUUGGAAGCGCUUGAAGUUACUCAUCUUCGCAGCACUGUUUCUCGCUGUUCGUUCGUUAAUUUCGUUAAAAAAUUGUGUAUCGAUAAUUUGACGUCGCCUACUAUAGAAACUGUAUCGUUCACACCGAAAAUUCGACGCUCAGCAUCGCGUGCGCUCCGCUAGGGUUACUGUACGUGUGCGCAUACGACAGAUGCCAGCGGCGGAAUGAUUCGAGAGAGCUGUCGCGCGCGCGCGCGCGCUUACGUUGUGCAGUCCAUACGCGCCGUACUCCCCCACCGGCCGGCUGUUGGUCGCGUGGCUGGGAUGCGUCGUUGUUGGGCCCCUUCGAAAGGCCUUCUGGCACGUCGGCGGCCCCCCCUCGUCUAUAAUGCGGCCAGGUAUAUAAUUUUCCGGACGCUUCUUCCUUGCCGGACGAGCUUGCGGACUUUACUGCCUGCCUGCGCGUCUAUGGCUCUAUGCGUAUAACGAACCUCGAUGGGCUGAUUUUAUUGCACCUAUUUCGGAGCCUUCGCUUUUCCGCGCGGUAAACGCUGUGCUGUGCGUUCGGCCGAGCCGUGGUGAUUAGCCUGUUCCUGGGGGGGGGGACGGUGAAAUCCUUGAGUUGUGUACGAAUAUUCCAAAGCUUGAGGUACUUUCUGCGUGGUAGUCUACGCGAUGGACAUCGGUCGGCGAUGUUUAAUAUAGACAGCUAUGCCAAUAUUUUCGCGCGCUCUUUCGCUCGAGACGUCGGGCCAGUGACUGACUGACUGACUCCCCCUGUGGGUACCUACCCAUAUAGCGGCGUACCUCGAUGUACAUAUGAAAGAAGGAGAGAAUCGGGUUCUUCCGACUUCCUAACGUCGACUCCGCCCAUCUGCGGCGCGACUCCUGCAUCCGUACGGCUAUACGUCUCUCUCUCUCUCUCUCUCUCUCUCUCUCUCUCCCUUGUGUACGUGAUCCCCUUUAAACGCUGCGUGCAUACAUUUGCUGCGACUGACUGUGCGUGAUGUGACUCUUUUUUCUAAACUCCAUUAGACGCUUGCUUAUCGAUGGCCGAGAUAUACUCGCUCGCGUAUAUUGAGAUGUUAAUGCAAUCACGAUGGAUGGAAAUUCGGAAAAGCGCCCGUUACAGACACACACAUCGCGUCACGGUGUAUAUAGUGUAAACUGACUCAUCCCGCCAGGAAAACAAGGCAGUUCCGCAAGAAAAAAAAAAAUAAAUAAAAAAAGAAAUCAUCCCAAACAAUUUUAUCGCGAACCGCGCAGGCACCGGUAACUCAAUAUCGACACGGAGAGCGCAGCCGUCCGUAGCACUAUCACCGCGUUUAUAUUUACAGACAGAUAAAAAAAAAAAAAAAAAAAAACCGCGCACACAAUAAUAUAACGCCGGACUGCAUUAACUCUCCACGCGGUUGUUUUAAAGCACCCGCAUUUCUCGUCGAACGAAAAAAUCGCGCCAACGCCGGCUGUGUGUAUCGAAAGCAUUGCAGUUCCUAUACCCAUACACGCACAAAGGAGAUUUUCAACAAUAGACGCAUGGAGUUCAGUUUUGUCGGUUAUAAGCGCGCGCUCGCGCCGGCUUUUUCUAUAGGCUAUAUAUAGAGGUGCGCAACCCCCGUCGCAGGGGAUGACGCGCGAAGAAGAGCCUCAGGGGGGGAGAGAGAGAGAGAGAGAGAGAGAGAGCGGCGUAACGACUUUUGAUGAUGCGUGCAUGCGUACGCGCUUGGACCUUUAAAAAUGUUUAUUCGGCGCGAGUUUUCGAGAAAGAAAGCCGAUAUCGCUGUGCGCGUCGCCUUAUGCAUAUACUGAAAAUUUUCUCUUUUACAUUUUCAGAGAAUAACCGAACAGGCCUCCCGUCGUACGAGAAGCUUCCAACGACACUAUAACUUCGCGAUCAUCCAAAAAAUCGGAUCAAGUGUGAAGCAAUUUUGGCGCGUUUCGCAAGCAUCGAAAAAUCGGCCGAUUACACGCACCGUCGUGUGUACAGAACAGCUGUGUUCUCCCCUACUGCAACGGGGGUCAAAUAAGAAGAAGACGAUCAAGCCCAACAAGACCCGCGUGUGUGUAGAGGCGCGUAAAAACGCCGACGCCGGUAGCACGCGCCACUCGAGGCAUCUGCCGCGUUGUACGCUUCGAUGAUUUCCAGAACACGCGCGCGCCGGCCUCUGUCUCCCCCGCACGCGUGUACAAUUCGUGAAUAAGUGUGUGGGGGGUGGGGGGAGGGGUCGAGAUCUCUAUCUCGCGGGGCUGUUCCUUUUCUUUUUCAUUGGGAUACUCGAGAAGAGAGAGAGAGAGGUCGUAAGUGCGAGGGGGAUAAAAAUGUGUUUCGAGUGUCGCGGGAAGCGAGUGUUUGUUUCUAUUCGGCACUUUGCGGCUGCUCGCGACAGAUAGAGAGCUUGAUGGGAAAGACAAUUUUUGAAGUGUGGCGCGAGAACGUUUUCUUUUUUUUUUUUUUUUUUUUCUAUAAUUAUAUGAAAUACCAUCUCAGUUCGUCAACGAAAACUGCGCGCGAUGCCCAUCGACGCAUUAAUCUCACCUAUAUGUACUACGUUAACAUUACUCGAAUCCCGAUAAGAAUCCUCAUCGCGCGAGUCACUCGUUCUCUGUAUACCGCUUCGAAAUACCGAUUCCUCGAGCCCAUUCAUCGGCGAUAAUCUCUCUCCGUCGUCGAUAUCGCAAUGAAUUCCUUAUACGAUACUGUUAAAGGUACGCAGCAUAAGUACGUAUAGAAAAGUAGAAAACUAUUUUCACUUCUCGUCGCUCGCAUUCUCGAGCGAUGAGAGAGCAGCGGUGCAUGUGUGCAUAUAAACGGCCUGGUCCACGCGAAAAUUCUGUGGGAGUAGAUUUGUAAUGUACGAGGCCCGUGUAAAAUGCGACUCGCUUCAGGGAGUGUUGGCCGAUUGCGUGGCGCGCCAGAGAGAGAGAGAGAGAGAGAGAGAAAGAAACCAGGUGAAAUUUUAGGAUGAAUCAGUGCAGGAACGGUAAAAGCCGAGCGUGUGUUCCGGGGCCUGCAGCGAAAUGCGCGCGCGCGCGCGCGCGGAUAGCUUUGUCACGCGCGCUGCUUAUCGGUUGAUUCAUCGGUGUAAUUAUAGCACGCUUGUGUGUAGCCCUUUUUUGUUUUUGUGAUUUUUGUAUUUUUUCUAUUGCGAAUGCUCCGUGGCCAUGACGAUUUUUUCCGGGGGAUGUGCGUUGUUUCGUGCGCGAUCGGAAAGUGGAAAUGGCGUAUUAUAACGAUAUUUUCUUAUCGUAUGCGCGAUUGUUCCGACUCUCGGUCUUUUUUGUGAAUGGAGCGGUUUUUGACAAAACGGAAAAUCGCGCUAUUCUAGGAUUGUGAACUUCUUGUUUGCUAAAAGGCUGCCUUAAAAUAACAGCAGCCGUCGAAAAUUAUCUCCUCGCGGUAACUCGACGCUCCGCAGCUUCCGAAAUCAGCCAUCAACGUUGAUAAAAUCGCCUACAUUGUAUAGGUACACCCAAAUAUCGAGAACUGGCGCGAAGAGACCACGUUAUACUUGUAUGCCUGCACGCCUAGUUAUGGCGCACCCCUAUUGUCGCCUCUUUCUCUCGCUCUCUCUCUCUCUCUCUCUCUCUCUCUCUCUCUCUCUCUCUCUCUCUCUCUGUAUACAGAAAUGGGGGACAGCUGCGAGGAACCGUUACGCCGAGCUGCUGCUGCACUCGUGUGUGUACCUAUAUGCGUACCGCGAAGUCGUCGAGUCGCUCGGCGGAAUAUUGAUUGCGCUUCGAGGAUUGCCAGAGGUGUAUGUAUGUAGGUAUAUAUAUGCACACGCGAGGAGCUAUACAUUGUUCUGUGCGGGGAUUUUGCUAGUUAGGAAGUGCGUCCGCGAGACGCUUUGUGCAAGCUGCUGCUUGUCUUGGGAGAAAGGAGGCUUUGUCUUUUGUUUCUUUCUUCGAUGAAGCUGGUUUUUAGAGAAAGAGGAUGCGCGCGUCGUUUGGGAUCGAUAAUUGGCCUUUUGAAAAUCUGGUUUUUAAGGAUGUCUCUGCGUUUAAAUAUUUUAGUACAAUUAGUUUGUUCAAACUUCUAGUCGACGAUGUAUGAAAAAAAUUAAUUUAUAAUCUUUACAAUUUAUCCAUAUAAUUAUACGCUGUAAUGACUUGUCUCGAGAAAAUCUAACAAUAAACCUAUUCCCGAAAAA
Nasonia vitripennis (jewel wasp) is the source of this 9257-nucleotide RNA transcript. It is a transcript of the gene named MIT domain-containing protein 1-like, with no coding region annotated. The transcript is spliced from 7 exons. The record is from RefSeq and is a predicted model, not a curated record. NCBI's taxonomy places the organism in Eukaryota, Metazoa, Arthropoda, Insecta, Hymenoptera, Pteromalidae.